UGGGGAAUCUUGGACAAUGGGCGCAAGCCUGAUCCAGCCAUGCCGCGUGGAUGAUGAAGGCCCUAGGGUUGUAAAAUCCUUUUCGUUGGGGACGAUAAUGACGGUACCCAAAGAAGAAGCUCCGGCUAACUUCGUGCCAGCAGCCGCGGUAAUACGAAGGGGGCUAGCGUUGUUCGGAUUUACUGGGCGUAAAGCGCGUGUAGGCGGGUCGUUAAGUUGGGGGUGAAAUCCCGGAGCUCAACUCCGGAACUGCCUCUGAUACUGCACGUCUUGAGUUCGAGAGAGGUGGGUGGAAUUCCUAGUGUAGAGGUGAAAUUCGUAGAUAUUAGGAAGAACACCGGUGGCGAAGGCGGCCCACUGGCUCGAUACUGACGCUGAGGUGCGAAAGCGUGGGGAGCAAACAGGAUUAGAUACCCCUGUAGUCCCUGAGCGGGCUGGCAAGGCGCAU
This 448-nucleotide ribosomal RNA is filed under the name uncultured bacterium. RNAcentral's name for it is "bacterial SSU rRNA". It matches the Rfam family "Bacterial small subunit ribosomal RNA", at positions 355 to 825 of the family's 1533-position model. The record is from RNAcentral.